This 895-nucleotide ribosomal RNA is filed under the name uncultured bacterium. RNAcentral describes it as "bacterial SSU rRNA". It matches the Rfam family "Bacterial small subunit ribosomal RNA", at positions 8 to 916 of the family's 1533-position model. The record is from RNAcentral.
AGAGUUUGAUCAUGGCUCAGGACAAACGCUGGCGGCGUACCUAAGACAUGCAAGUCGAACGGAGACUCCCGCUUCGGCGGGAGGAUGAGUGGCGAACGGGUGAGUAACACGUAGGAACCUGACGCGCAGUGGGGGAUAACGCUGGGAAACCGGCGCUAAUACCGCAUGAGGUUCUGCUGGGAGACCAGGAGAAAGAAAGCAGUGAUGCGCUGUGUGAGGGGCCUGGGUCCGAUUAGCUAGUUGGUGAGGUAAGGGCUCACCAAGGCGACGAUCGGUAGCUGGUCUGAGAGGAUGGUCAGCCACACUGGGACUGAGACACGGCCCAGACUCCUACGGGAGGCAGCAGUUAGGAAAUUUUCGCAAUGGGGGAAACCCUGACGGAGUAACGCCGCGUGGAGGAUGACGGCUUUCGGGUUGUAAACUCCUUUUCUGUGGGAAGAGCAGAGGACGGUACCACAGGAAUAAGCCUCGGCUAACUACGUGCCAGCAGCCGCGGUAAUACGUAGGAGGCGAGCGUUGUCCGGAAUUACUGGGCGUAAAGCGCGCGUAGGCGGCACUGUACGACCGGUGUGAAAGCCCCCGGCUCAACUGGGGAGGGUCACUGGUAACGGCAGCGCUGUGAGUGCAGGAGAGGGAAGUGGAACUCCGGGAGUAGCGGUGAAAUGCGUAGAGACCCGGAGGAACACCAGUGGCGAAGGCGGCUUCCUGGCCUGUAACUGACGCUGUGGCGCGAAAGCUAGGGGAGCAAACGGGAUUAGAUACCCCGGUAGUCCUAGCCGUAAACGAUGGACACUAGGUGUGCGUGGUAUCGACCCCACGCGUGCCGGAGCUAACGCAGUAAGUGUCCCGCCUGGGGGAGUACGGCCGCAAGGCUAAAACUCAAAGGAAUUGACGG